This 6492-nucleotide long non-coding RNA is filed under the name Sus scrofa (pig). RNAcentral's name for it is "lncRNA (ENSSSCG00005014776.1)". Lineage: Eukaryota; Metazoa; Chordata; Mammalia; Artiodactyla; Suidae. The record is from RNAcentral.
GGUUCCCAGGCUAGGGGUCUAAUCGGAGCUGUAGCUACCAGCCUACGCCAGAGCCACAGCAACGCAGGAUCCGAGCCAUGUCUGCGACCUACACCACUGCUCACGGCAACGCCAGAUCCUUAACCCACUGAGCAAGGGCAGGGAUCGAACCCACAACCUCAUGGUUCCCAGUCAAUUUUGUUAACCACUGAGCCACGAUGGGAACUGCCCAAAUUUCUUGUUAUGAGAAAACUAGUCAAGCUGGAUUAGAGCCUGACCCUGAGGACCUCAUUUUACCUCAGGCCUUAUAUCCAAAUACAGUCACAUUCUGAGGUUUGGGGGUCGGGGUGGGCGUAGGACUUCAAUAUGUGAAUUGAGGCUGGACAGAAGCCCUAAACAGAUCUGUAGUUGUUUUUUGCCCUUUUUUUCCCAUGGCCUGUACCUGUGACAUUAGGAAGUUCUCAGGCUAGGCGUCGAAUUGGAGCUGCAGCUGCCAGCCUCUGCCUCAGCCACAGCAAUGCUGGAUCAGAGCCGCAUCUGUGACCUCCGCUAAAACUUGCGGCCAUGGUGGAUCCUUAACCCUUUGAGCGAGGCCAGGGAUCAAACCUGCAUCCUUACAGACAGUAUGUUGGGUUCUUAACCCGCUUUGCCACAACGGGAAUUCCUGUAGUAGUUUUAUGAUCAGGAUCAAAACGUGUGUGAUCACUUGUUGAUGAAUUUGUGAUUUAGUCUUGAUUCUCCAAAUACCACUUCUCCUAAGGGCUGAGACUUACGUGGAAAUUACUCCAACACAAUUUUCAAGUCUUCCUCAUCAGGAGAGGCAAACAUUCGAGAGAGGUUAAUGCCUGUUGAACACUUAACAUGUGCCAAGCACUGUAGUGGGAUUUUUAAUUUACUCCUUACUAUCACACAGCAAAAUAGAUAUUUAUGCCCUUGUUUUUCAGAUGUGGAAAUUUAGAUUCAGAUAGGCUAAUGUGAUUUGCUCAAAGGCACAAAACUAGGAAGCACUACAGUUCGGAUUCAACUGUAAACCCAUCUGAUUGUAGAGCCACGCCUUUUCCACAUGCAUCCCUUUUCUGGAACUGAAAAACAAGUUUGUUUUUUUUUCUCUUUCCCAUUUCAAGCUGUUGCAUUAAAAUCAGAAAAAAAACCCUUGUGAGAAAGACUUUCUAGAAGUCAGUCAUCAUUUAUUCGCAUUUCCAUUUGUCAUAUACCCAUACUUGACUGCCCGCUCUUUUUAGCAUUGCUUCACUUUGCUGCUUCUGUUUUUAAAGCUUGCCAUGCAAAUCGCACAACUGAAGAAUUAGGAAAUGGUGACAGCAAAGUGGUUCAUUGUAAGUUGGGCAGGGGUGAUGGUACAGAGCCCCCUUUCAGCCAGGCUGGUGUAAUGAAGUAAUUCAGACUUGUCCUAUGGUCUCUGCAAUCAAGCUCCACUUCACAGCACACUGGCUUGCAGGACCAAAAGUUGUUGGUUUAUGUGCAUUGUUCCCUCUGCAGUUGUCUUCCCAAACUCUGAAAGUGCCCAGAGAUUAUACAAAAAGUCAGGUGCAGCCCAGUUCUCUGGACAUGUUCUAUGAUCAUGACAUAUUUUGUUACACUGUCUCUACCCAAUGAAUGGGUCAGUUCCUAAGGAUGAAUUCCUUGCAGAGGAAGAGGGUGUUGGCAGUUCAAGGGACAGCUGAUACAUUUCAAAGGAUUGGAGGGCCAGUUAAAAAUGACAAUGGCAGUGAUAAUACCAAUGCUUCCUACCAUUGACUUCAUCUCGAUUUGCACGGACCUUUUGUAUCUCAUUUUAUUUUCACAAAAAUAUAUUGAAGUGAUAAGUCAGAGGUGGUUAUAUCCCCUUUCCGGAUGUGGAAAUUGAGGUUCACAGAGGUUAAAUGGAGGCAGAACAAUUCCCAGGUCUUUGAUCACCCCAACUCUCUAACUAAAUUAGUCUUGAGAAGUGCAACACACUGAGUUCAUUCACUUCCAGCUGUGGAACAUUUUGUCCUUCUGAAACAAUGUCGAAGUAGACUUGGGGCCGUCAGUAAUUGCUUACUAGUUUCAGUUGCCCAGUGGAUGACAAUCAAGAUACGGGGUUCUUUUCUCCCUAGGCUCUGGGAAGCUGAACAUUUACUAAAUUCAGGCCAUAUUUCAGUCUUCCGUCCAGUGCUCUUGCUGCUCAUAAUUCAUAGCCAUCAUGUAUGGAACAUUAGUUACCUUUGCGUUGUACGGAAUCAUCAGAAGAACUCUGGAAGAAAGGAAGUAUGUCCACCUUACAAAUGGAGAAGCUGAGGCUUGGAGCUAUUAAGUAACGUUUCCAAGGUUGUGUGGUGAAGAAAGCGCAGCAUCAGUUUGAAAUCAUUGAAUCUGUGGCCAGACCAUUGCUUUUAAUCACUCUGCCUGUAACUUGAAGGAGUCCUUAACUAAGUAAAUAGAUUGACACAAAUCAAUAAUAACUUCAGAGACACGCCGUGGAAUGAAUGCUGGAAGGUUAAAUUGUUAACUUAUCUACAUCGUGUCAUUAGGAAUUGGUCUUCCGCAGUUGUAUGUGUAGCUGAUGAAAUACUGCAGGCUGCUCCGGGGGGGACCCCACAAUCACUAUUAGUGCACAGAGGAUGCUUUCUUUGUUUAUUCUUGAUAGAAAAUUAUUUCUGACUUGCUGUUUCUCUACCUCACCAGAUCUGUUUUCCACAUACCUACCACCUACCACAUUCAGUCAUUCCAUUGAAAAUACACUCACCAGUAGGAGUCUCAGUUCCUGGAUGCUUUUGUGAUGAAGGGUUAAUCACUUCUGCUGGCAAGUGGUGUCAUAAGGCGCUCGGGUAGGUAGAAUAGUCAGCCAGGAAUACUCCCCUCUGUUCCUGGAGCGGGGCAGAGGAGCAGUCCUUCCGCAAAUCGUCUUCAGGACGUCACAAGCUUUUACGACUUGGAACUGUGACCCGGAAGGCUCAGUGCUCGUCCCCCGGACUUCCCUUUGUGCAGCAGCGAAAAUCGCCCUUUUGGAUGUAAAGGUGUCGGGAAUGAAGGUCCACAGCUUCCACCACAGGACCUUUCACUUCGGGUCCAUCAUGCGGCUCUAUGUCUCUGAGUACAGUGGCUGCCUUUUCCUGAGCUGUUUCUCUGACUUCCUAAUGUGGGCUGCCUCUGCACACGUCAUACCUCAUCCGAACCCUCUCAGCACCAUCAGGAACAGAAUCCUUAGAGCACUGGUGACCAGUAGUUUAUGUGUGAGGUCAAACUGUGAAAAGGAAAACUGUAUAUGAUCAGAUGAAAGGAAAGACGAUCACGUGGUUUCAACAUUAAAAAGGCUCUUUUUAAUCGCAUGGUGGUCUUGGGGUGGUACGGAAAUGUUUCUUCUUAAAAUUUUAGCCUACUCCUUUCUGGAAUAGAAUAAUACUGGUGAGGAAAUUGCCACUGCUUUCCAGCCACGAGAAAAUGGAAUAUCUACGCAUAUCUGAGAAGCAGAUAUGCUUUUUAAUCUUUCAUCCCGAAAUUAGCUUGCCUGGCUCUAAGAUGCAGCCUAUGAUCUAUUAGCUACUCGGGAGCACUGUAGAGGAUUUUCAAGCUGGAAGGGCCUUUGCAGAUGAUCGAGUCUAGUGGUUCCCAAAGUUUUCAUCACCAAGGGCACCUUUAAUUAUUUGUCCCCCGCAUUCUAUGUUUUGAAAUAUCUGGCCUACUAAAAACAUUACAUUGAUCACAUCAUAAUUUUUUCCCAUUGCUUGUUGCUCAAGGCCGUUGAUAACAUCUGGUCAGCAUGAAAUAAUCAAUGUGACCACAAUAAGCUUAUACAAUUCCUUUCCAAAGUGGAGGCCUUCGAGGUCUGCUAGAUCUCAGGGGUCUUUAAAAUUCAUCUCCCUUAGGCUUAUGGAAAUGUUAGGGAUAGCUCAGAGAGCCCCAUCCUCUUGGAGAGCCUUUCAUCUCCUUCCAUGAGGACAGGUGAGGAGACUCAGAUUUAAUAGCCAAAGGGAUUGGCCCAAGAUUACAUACACCUAUUAAUCGCAAGGAGGACUAGAACUCAUGGCUAAUGAGUCUCCAUCUUCUUUUUCCACAUUCCCAGUAUUCAUGUGCUUUGCGUCUAAGAGCUUAAUCAAUACUGUCUUGUAUUUUUCGGUGACAAGAGCUCUUUAAUGAACAGAGAGGAAGAAGAAAGUGGCCAAUCAUAUGCAGGUGACUUUGAGGAUGGCAGUGUUGGGUACGGACUUUUUGGACAGCAGAAGGCACACAGAAGCUGGAAUGAGAUACAGUUUUAUGGAAAGGGCACAGGCUUAGGAGUCAAAGAUAACAUGGGUUCAGUGACUGGCUUUGCCACUUAGUGGCUGUGUGACCCUAGGUCAGCUCCUUAUUACCUUGAUUGUUUCUGGGGCCAGUAGGUGUUCCAUAGGGAUUUGCUAAAUCAGUUGACUAGGGACAAUGCUGCUUAUUACCUCAUGGGGCUGUGUGUGGAUUGAAUGAAAUGAUAUGAAUGGAGUUCACGUCAUAUGCCUAUCACAUAGCAGAUGGCAAAAAAUAAAAUUCCACCAUGGAUCCAUGAAAUAACCUAUAAAAUAAUACUAAGAAACAACUCUCAACUUUGCAUUUCUGCCCAGCCUCCUUUCCAUGACUAAUUUCGGGCAUCUCUGUAGAGAACAUCUCAGGUAGCAUUGCUCUUGACAAGGUUCAUUUAGGGAGCAAAGUAGUGUCCGUGUCAUCCUGUACACAUUGUCCCUGAGGGCUGAGAAGGCACAGAAUUGCUCUCAGCAGGGAAGUUCACUUGCCUCUUUUGCCUUCAUCUCCUUCGCAGUGAUGGUCUUUGCUAAAACGACUUGAAAUUGAAUAAGGAUACCUCAAGAGGGCUUGUUCCAGGUCCUUCUAGAUGGAGUCAUCAUGAAGUUCUUCCUUGUAGUCAACCAUACCAUCAUUUGACAGAUAGGAUAAAGCUUCAGCAAUGCAUACUUUAUGCGAUUUUCACGAGAAUUCAUAUUUAGGGCCCUUGGCAAGCUCAUACUCUCUUUGUGAAAUGUUGCAGCAGAGCCUGCAUUGCAGGGCUUUGCCCGCCAUAUUUGGCCCACCGUGUAGGGUGCCAUGUUGACCAGAAUGAGUUGUGCACAGCCUAUAAGACUAGAUGACCAGUCUCUACUGCACAUCCCACAUUGGAGGACGCUGAAGUCCUCUGUAGACCUUCUUCACUGGCCAUGAGCUGUGAGAGUAAGCCAAGAACAUUCUCAUGCCCAGCCCCAGAGCCCACUUCAAUGUCCAAGAGAGGAAGAGGUGUCUAGUCUUUGAUCAGCAGUUGCCUCUCCUGCCCUCUGUGGCACAAACCCCCCCCCCCCAAUGCCCAAACCAAAAACAUAAUAUGAUUAGUAUGGAGGGUUUAGAGUCAAUAGGAGGAGCAGGUGAGAUUCCCCCCCGCCUUGGAAUUUGAGGUAGAGUUUAUAUAAAUUUCAUGAACAAAGUGGAAUCUUGGCUGGUAUAACAUUAGCCGAAACUCUUUGUUGGGCUCAAAUAAAAAUGUUCCGUCUUGUACAUGGCCUAGAGCCAUCUCGAAGAUGAAAAGUUGUAUGUUGAAAGGCCAAACAAACAAACAAAAUACUUGAAGAGCAUUGUGUACAAGGAGCCAGUAUCAUGAGAAUUUCUCCAGUUUUGAUUUUCUUGCGCUAUCGCGGGUUAUUUUUUUCCUCCUUCUGAACUAAGGAGAUGGAAAAUACCUUUGAGUCGUUAUGAAUGGAUUCUUAAUUAACUGUCCAGAGAUUUGUUUUGUGAGGUAAAAUUCUGAGACGGUUCUUGCCGUGGACAGGAAGAAUUAGCUCUGGAGCGAGCAGAAAAAGGGUUUAUUUCUUCUUACUGGCUUCCCUGAGGAAGCCAGGGGAGGCAAGGAUGAGCCCACAGCUGAGGCUCAUUCAUGGCUGAACUUGGGUCAAGGCUUCUAGGCCCCCUUCCCAGUGUCGCUUUCUUUGCCAAAUUGGUGUGUGUGCGCACCUUGGCUCUUUGGGGGGCAUGCUUCCCAGUGGAGGUGGCACUCUGCUUCUUGGCUUAGGCGGUUUGCUCCAGAGGAGAGAGGGUGCAUGCCUAGGAGCCUGGGCUCUGGCAUCUUGGCGCAGACAUUUUUUACAUCGUGGCUGGGGGUGAAUUUUAAUUCUACCGAAAAUUCCAAGGUGGGGGGCGGACUCUCACCUGUCCUCUGCUAUUGACGCUAAACCCUCCAUAAUAAUCUUAACAUGUUUUCUGUUUAGUGUUUAUUUGUGCCGUUGGGAACAGGAGAGGGAACUGCUAAUCAGAGACUAGGCUUGGGGUGAAUGGCUUAUCUUCUCAGCCUCCACUUGCAUGUCUAAGAAAUACAGAGAAUAGGAGCUCCCGCUGUGGCACAACAUCAGCGGUGUCUUGGGAGUGCUGGGAUGCAGGUUUGAUCCCCAGCCCAGCACAGUGGGUUAAGAAUCUGGUGUUGCCACAGCUGUGGCUUGGGUUGAGACUGAGGCUCAGGUCUGAUCCCUGGCCCAGGAGCCCCAUAUGCUGUGGGGUGGCCAAAAAUGAAAAAAAAAAAAAAAAAAAAAA